GCCGACGUAGCUCAGCUGGUAGAGCAACGGUUUCGUAAACCGUAGGUCGAGAGUUCGAAUCUCCUCGUCGGCUCCA
RNAcentral lists this transfer RNA (76 nucleotides) under Candidatus Obscuribacterales bacterium. RNAcentral describes it as "tRNA-Thr". It matches the Rfam family "tRNA". From Rfam's summary of the family: Transfer RNA (tRNA) molecules are approximately 80 nucleotides in length. Their secondary structure includes four short double-helical elements and three loops (D, anti-codon, and T loops). The record is from RNAcentral. Lineage: Bacteria; Bacillati; Candidatus Melainabacteria; Candidatus Obscuribacterales.